RNAcentral lists this ribosomal RNA (245 nucleotides) under uncultured bacterium. Its description in RNAcentral is "partial 16S ribosomal RNA". It matches the Rfam family "Bacterial small subunit ribosomal RNA", at positions 524 to 765 of the family's 1533-position model. The record is from RNAcentral.
UACAUGGGGUGCAAACGUUGCUCGGAAUUAUUGGGCGUAAAGCGCACGUAGGCGGUUCGUUAAGUCGGAUGUGAAAGCCCUCGGCUCAACUGAGGAAGUGCACCCGAAACUGGCGAGCUUGAGUACGAAAGAGGAUCGCGGAAUUCCCGGUGUAGAGGUGAAAAUUCGUAGAUAGUCGGGAGGAACACCGGGUGGCGAAGGCGGCGAUCUGGGUCGAUACUGACGCUGAGGUGCGAAAGCGUGGG